RNAcentral lists this small RNA (4506 nucleotides) under Rattus norvegicus (Norway rat). RNAcentral's name for it is "uncharacterized LOC102555981". The record is from RNAcentral. Lineage: Eukaryota; Metazoa; Chordata; Mammalia; Rodentia; Muridae.
CCAAGUCUUUAUUGGCAAAAUCGAACAUUUAAGAUUUUGAUUAAAAAAAAAAAAAACGCACCCGUGUCGAGUACCCUUCUUGAUGCUGCCUGGUGGUUGGCCUACAUUUUAAGGAUACUGCUUCAGACCAUCUUUUGUCUCCUCAGGUCCCCACGGUUCUCUCCACUCCCUCAUACUUAAGUGAUGACCCUGUAUCCUGUAUCUCUGAGGAAACAGACACAAGAAAACAUGCUCCUUCUGGCUCGAACUGGGCUUCCUUAUCAGCCCCAUACCAUGCACUUCAUAAUUACCCUUCUGAGCCCAGCUCUCCUACUUAAGCUCUGGAAACAAUCCUGCUAUUCCGGACCGUGGCUCUGGCCAUUUUCCUCUCAUUUUUCCUCUAACCCUAUCCUUUCUGCAGGAUUGUCCAUCAGCAGUGGCCAGGAAUUGGAAAUGACCGAGACGUCCAUCAACUGAUAGGUAGAUAAUGAAGAUGUGGUGCAUCAACACAGUGGAAUAUUAUUUGGGCGUAAAGAAAAAUGAAAUUGUACUGUCCAUAGAUUACUACAACUUCAUCAGAGAAGCUUCUUUUUGGAGGAGAUGGCAAUGGAUGCAGAGAUCCACAACUAGUCAAUAUGCAGAGAGGGUUAGCAACUUGUACUCAUGAAAAUCCUGAAGGAGUUCGAGUUCAGCGAAGGAAACAGGAAGUUCAGUUCGGUUUGUGGAAAGCCCAGGAAACAGCAACACGUCUGUGAACAAUGAGCCGUCUGCUGAAGAUUCUUGAUAAUGGGAAUGGGGUGUGCCGGGAGCCAACCAAAUUUCUAGAUGUAUAGUAUCUUCCCCCUUCAGAUUCUAUAGGCUUUCAUGCUAUGUAAAAUAAACCCAGACUCGAGUUCAUGGAAACUUCUAGAAGUUGUGUCUCUGGAUUCUUUUAGAAUGUAGGGCAACUUCUCUGCUGAGCUGCUCUUCUCAUCACCCAAGUCAUGAGGGCAAGGCCUGUGCUUUUACCCAAAGAAAAGUCCUCAAGCCAGCAAACACAAGGCUGCUGGAACAGGUCUGGGUAUUCUGGCAAAGCACUGGGCUCAUGGUGUCACACUUUGCUGGAUAUUCCUUUUCAAGUGCUUAUUAAGCAUCUGAUGAAACCGUCAGAGAGAAGCACAAAGUAAAGAUAAGCCUGUUCCUCUCCAAGCUCAUUCUCUGUCGAGCAGCAGGACCUUACCUGCCCCACAGCCUCUAGCACGUGUUAGCUAUCGCACAAACAUCAGUUACUUUGGUUAAGUGCUGUGACACGUGCCUGUCAGAAGCAUCUUCAGAGGAUUUACUUUGGUUCGUGGUUUAAGAAGGAAUAAUUCACCACUGCAGUGAAACGUAAGGAGUCCGACGUGGUGGGCAGAUGAGGCUAGGGCUCCUUAUGUCUGACAGAUUAGGAAGCAGGAUGCCGGCACUCACUCAGCUUCUCCUUUUAUUUUUAUCAUUCAGUCUGGGACCGGAACUCAGGAGGUGGCACCACCACAUUCUUGUCUCUGGCAAUAUUCUCACAGACAUGCCUAGAGGCGUGUUCCCCGGGGCAUUCCGAAUCCAGUUGACCGUGAAGAUGAAUCGUGACAGAACCCUACAGAGUUCUUGGCCUCUCUCCAUGGGCUGAAAUUAUGUGCCGAGCAUCUGUUCCUUUGAGAAAGGCCUCGUGGAUGACCCCUCACCAAGAGUCUAAUUUAUCUGGAGACUCCAGGUACAUAUUUGUCUCAAAAACUAUAAUACUGAUUAUCAAGGAACAUCUAAUGCUUUAUAGCUCCACAAUUAAGCCAACUCGGCCAUGGCUCAGAAAACAGACUUUGUUCUGUUAUUUAGCACAUGUGUGUCUGUGUCUGGGGUGGGGAGUGUUCUGGAUUUGUUAGCUGUGGCCAUUUUGACAACCAUAUGUCUGUUCAAGCAUCUGGCACACUUCUAUGUUUUUAAACCUGUGGAUUUAUCUGAUGAGAGUCAAAGUAUUUGAUUUACUUUCUUCAUAGAAUGGCACAGCCACACCCACUGGCAACAGCGAGUGUCAUGAACCAGCCUGACACGGUCCAACCAAGCUGAGGGGAUUGUUACAACUGCUGUCUUUCUGUCUCUGACUUUUGGUCUUGCAUUAUGAUUCGAUUUAUGUCUUUUCCUGAGAAAAAUUAUGUCUGAGUAUUUUUAGGAAAAUCCUAAAAUAAAUUCUAUCUGGCCACUCUUUGGAAGUCUUCCUUAUGCCCUGGAGAUCAUUAAGCACAGAUAAGCACAGAGCUAGAUGAGGCCAUUGCUCCAGGGAUCAUCUUGGGGUCUCUGCCCCUGAGCUAACUCAAACAAUAUAAUUGAUGCAGGGCAAAAAGAGACAACUGACAGUGUCUGAGUAGCCAGAAAAGAUAGGUUACAUAUUCAAGAUCUCUUUUUUAUUAUAGGCUUAGCGGUCUCUUAAAAUGCAGUUUAAAGAUAGGGGGUCGUACAGGGUACACUUUUGAAGGAAUCAAAUUCAGAAAAUAAGAUAGACCAACUAAAGUGAAGUUUUCCUACUUAAUAUUGUAGAUGAUGAAACCUAUAGUAGAAGAAGGUAGGUAGUAGUAUUUGCUAUUCAUAACCAGACGGGGGUUCAGAUUUUUCUGUUUGGAAUGCUUUCAAACGGCAAGCACUGCAGCCUAAAAGCAGGCUGUCACAUAAUAUUAUGUGCUUGCUUUGGAGGAGACAUUCUUUAGAUUUGAACCAGAGGGUCACAACAAGAAGACUCUGUUCUGUUUAUAUUUUCUAAUUGUGACUGAACUUGUAACCCUGGGCGUGUAAUGAAAAAUCAAACAUAUAUUCCUUACCGUUUGGCUAAUCGUUAGUCUGUUUUCUUCUGUGAAGCACCUGUUUGCUGGUCAGUCAGAGCAGCAGAAACUGCCUGGUGGUGAGUCAGAGCUACUUCAGGGGCCUGAUUGCUAGCAAGUCAGAGGUGCAAAAUUCCCCUAACCAUCUCCUGACUUCUCUCCCAAACUCCUUAUCUCCCCCGAAGGGCUGCCCUGUCAGCAAGAACCCUCUCUCUCCUCUCUGUGCUGGGGAAGGCCCCCACCCAGCAACAAAACAUUUGGGAAAACAUACAUGAUUACAUACACAUACAUGUGAUUUGUAAGGAUGUUUAACUGUCAUUUCUGAAUAAGAGCGUCAAGAUUUAUGAUCAAAACAGGCACUGAUAGGUUGAUACAUCUCCAUGCUGAAAACUGAAGAGGUUUCAGGACUUAAGAUUCUGACUCAAAAGACAAGUUACUUAUAGCCCUUGCCUAUAAACCCAACACUAAGAAUGAGGCAGGCGGACAGCUUGUGCAAGUCAGUUGAUUGCUAGUCUGUGUUACAUAGCAAGACCCCUACACACAAAAUAAACAAAACAUUAUGAUGUAAGGUAAAAAGUUUGAUCUGGACAAUUUAACUGAGUCUCAACUUACCUUUAAAGUGAGGGUAGUUAUUAUAACCUAAUCUACGGAUAUUGUAAGUAUUAAAUAAUAUUAUGUAACUCUUUAUCAGCUGUGUAUAUAAUAAAUGCUGCAAAUAGGUUAGCUUCCACAACUGGGAAUAACAAAUCACUAUUAAACAGGGGAUAACAUACAAGAUUAUAAUUAAGCAAAAAACUAUACAAAAUAGCAUGUCAUCAGGGUUCCAAUAAAUAUCACAUUAAGUCCAAAAUAUAGUGUGAUUUAGGGUCCUCCAAGAAAGAGAGUUUAGAUAACAUGCCAGUAUCACCAGACUGGCUCUGAGGCACCUGCUCCCAGGUAAUGACAUAUAGACUUAUUAUUUAUGAAAGUGUGGGCAUAGCUGGUUUGUUCCCAAUUCGCUCAUAUAACUUAAAUUAACCCAUUUAUACUAAUUUAUGUUCUGCCACAUGGCUCUGCUGCCUGGCCCAUUACCUGUCCUCAGUACUGGCAUGGUUAUGUUUCUUCCUUUCUGUGUGGCUGGCCAAUGCCUCGCACCUGAUUCCUUCCCAGAGUUCCUUUCUCUACGGGAAGUCAAGCCUAUCCUCUCCAGCCUAGCUGUGGGCCAUUCAGCUCUUUACUAAAGCAAUCAGAGGGAGCCUUAGUCAGGUGAGGGAGAAUAGAGGCACACUUUCACACAGUGUACAAAAAAUUAUCCCAACACAGCAGAUCUCAAUUUUGGAAGAGAUGAAAAUAUUUGUACCAGACUUGACCAAAGCAGUACAUUCUCAUCCUCCCUUUCUUUCUUGGGGGGAAUGUUAUAGCCCAGAAUCUGACAUUAUCUUUUCCCAUUUUUCCUUCUAUCAAGGUCCCAGGGUCUCAUACUUGGCUUACAGUGGUGAGAGAGUAACUUCAAGUACUGUUCCUUCCGUUACCACCUGUACACUUUUAGUGGUUGUUGCGGUUUUGGGAUGGAGCUUAGGGUCUUCUGCACGCUAGCAAAUGCUCUACCACCAAGCUGCAUCCCCAGUCACGUUCACACUGUAACAGAUUUUUGCUUAUUCAUUGUCUUAGUUAGGGUUUUACUGCUGUGAACAGACACCAUGACCAAGGCAAGUCUUAUAAA